GGGCGCUAAGCCUGAUGCAGCCAUGCCGUCGUGUAUGUAAGAAGGCCUUCGGGUUGUAAAGUACUUUCAGCAGUGAGGAAGGUGGGUAUGUUAAUAGCAUAUUCAUUUGACGUUAGCUGCAGAAGAAGCACCGGCUAACUCCGUGCCAGCAGCCGCGGUAAUACGGAGGGUGCGAGCGUUAAUCGGAAUUACUGGGCGUAAAGCGCAUGCAGGUGGUUUGUUAAGUCAGAUGUGAAAGCCCGGGGCUCAACCUCGGAAUUGCAUUUGAAACUGGCAAACUAGAGUACUGUAGAGGGGGUAGAAUUUCAGGUGUAGCGGUGAAAUGCGUAGAGAUCUGAAGGAAUACCGGUGGCGAAGGCGGCCCCCCUGGACAGAUACUGACACUCAGAUGCGAAAGCGUGGGGAGCAAAACAGGAUUAGAUACCCCUGGUAG
This 433-nucleotide ribosomal RNA is filed under the name uncultured bacterium. RNAcentral describes it as "bacterial SSU rRNA". It matches the Rfam family "Bacterial small subunit ribosomal RNA", at positions 373 to 793 of the family's 1533-position model. The record is from RNAcentral.